GCGGGUUAAUCGAAUACCGGUGCAUCGC
RNAcentral lists this small RNA (28 nucleotides) under Bombyx mori (domestic silkworm). RNAcentral's name for it is "ovarian small RNA-16954". Lineage: Eukaryota; Metazoa; Arthropoda; Insecta; Lepidoptera; Bombycidae. The record is from RNAcentral.